RNAcentral lists this unclassified non-coding RNA (448 nucleotides) under Hevea brasiliensis (rubber tree). Lineage: Eukaryota; Viridiplantae; Streptophyta; Magnoliopsida; Malpighiales; Euphorbiaceae. The record is from RNAcentral.
UUUCUGUGUAAAACUAUUUCAAAAUCAUGACUGGAGGAAGAGAAAUCCUGCACAAGAUGAAGGAAAAGGCAUGUUUUAUGGCUUCCAUGCCAGACUCACCAGAUACAAGAGGCAAGGGCGGAGCAUCAAAGCGGAUCACUCAUGGUUCCCACCUGGUGAAGGGAAAGUCUAAUCACGCGAUGGAAGAUUGUUUAGUUUGUGAGUUUAAGCAAGUCCAUAACAACGAUUUGGGACUAUUCGCAAUCUAUGAUGGACAUAUGGGCCAUGAUGUAGCAAACUACUUGCAGACACAUUUGUUUAACAAUAUUUUGAAAGAGCAUGACGUUUGGACGGAUACUGUGAAUGCAACUCGUAGAGCUUAUCAUAGUACAGACAGAGACAUUCUGGCAAAAGCAUUCGAAUUGGGAAAAGGAGGGUCAACUGCAGUUACUGCAAUGCUGAUAAAUAG